Pieris rapae (cabbage white) is the source of this 1547-nucleotide long non-coding RNA. RefSeq lists it as uncharacterized. NCBI's taxonomy places the organism in Eukaryota, Metazoa, Arthropoda, Insecta, Lepidoptera, Pieridae. The transcript is spliced from 2 exons. The record is from RefSeq and is a predicted model, not a curated record.
GCGCUUCUAAACGGGCCAUGUUUUGCUGCAAUUGAUGGCUGCAACACAUGGCCCGGCAACAUUGCAAACAAUGUCAGCCACACUAUGCAAUGUUGCAGUAAUGUCCCGGCCAUAUAGCCAAACAUGUUUUGUGUAGCCACUUAUGGCCGAUAUGGCCCCGAUGGGUUGCCGAACGAUCGCUAGGCUAUCGAAUUCAACUGCAAUAUUGCACAGCCAGUUCUAUUGUUGUUUCAGUCACUCUCUUUGUUAUGGCAUAGUGUAUCCUUUUCUACGCGACAUGAAGUUUGCUAUGAGUGAAGUGUGCCUGUUGCUAUAUUCUGUGUUUUGCGAUCAGCUGGAUUUUGACAACUACGUAAAAAUGGUUACUGGUCUAACAAGACAAUUACUGAUUUUAUUGAAGAAAUACAUUUGCACCCCGAGUUGUGGGAUAUAAAAACCGGCUCAUAAAAAGAUAGAAAUUCUAAAAAAGAUGCAUGGAAUGAAAUCGCUGAAAAGUUUGGCAUAACAAGUAACGAGGCUUACAAAAAAUUCAGAAGCCUAAGAACUUACGCAAAUAAUGAGGAGAAAAAGAAGGAAAGUGGUAGUGCUGGCGGUAAAACAGUAAAGUGGUUUGCUUAAGAUGCGAUAUCGUUUCUCUUUACUCAAAAUACCACGAAUAUAGGAUUACAUAGUGAAAAUGAAAACUUCUAACGCGACUGAAACUACAUACUGACAUCAGUGCUGACCCACGUGAAGUCGUAGAAUCAGAAACAACCGACACUUUGGAAGCCGUCGAUACUACUCCAAAACCACGUACUAAAAGGCUCAAAUUAUUAUACGCGAUGCUGGCGAAAAUAAAAACGAAUAUGCUGCUACUAGAUACCUAUUAUUAUUAAAUUUAAAAAGUACAUAAUAGUUACUACCUAUGCGUAACAUAUUUAAUAAACCUAUGUUAACUUACCUUGAUGUAUUAUUUUAAUCCUUCUAUAAUAGCUGUACACACCUCUUGUAUAAAAGUUGAAAUCUAACACUCGGAACAGGUACAUAAAACUUUUAAAUGAAUCUCCUGUUGCCAAAAACCGUAGAGUUAUCGCAAAUCUCGUGAUGGCGAUGAAACAGGUAUUGCUGUUCUCAUGUUUGUAUCAUUUCUUUUUAUUUUUGGUCCAAUUUUGUUUAAGAGAAAGUCAAAGUCGCCUUUUGAAAUUCUAGCCAAGUUCUUGAAUAAUUUAUUAUCAAGGCUUAUUACUGCUAGACUCAAAUUGUCUACAGUUUCACGCCUAUUUAAAUAAGGUCGAAUCCUCAAUCUCUUCUUUUUCUGUUCUUUUAAAAUUAAUAUAAGCUGCUGCGACAAGUGUGAUUUCAUCAGCCAUUGUUGCCGGUAUGUGUGGCCCGUUUAGGAGUCUGCAUCAUGGGCCAUACUAUUGCUGACAUAUUGCAACACAUGGCCCGGCCAUACAUUGCUCGGCCAUCAUCUGCAUUAAAACAUUUUUGUGAUGGCCGGACAAUUAAUUGCCAAUAGUGCAGCCAUCAAUUGCAGAAAAACAUGGCCCGUUUAGAAGCCCCAUUAA